CUUUAAAGAUGGUCAAAAUUCUUUGACAUUAUCUCAUCAAGAGGUGGUGUCAAUGUCCUUCUUUCCCAGAAUCUGGGUGGGCUCAGAGACUGCUUUGACCAAUAAAGCAUAGUGGAAGUAAAACUGUGCCAGUGUCUCGGGCUCAGGCUGAAAGAGACUGGCAGCUUUCACUUCCUGUCUUUUGAAAGUCUCUUGAACUUCGGACCUGGGGGAAGCCAGCUGCCGAGUGAGAAGUCUGACUAUCCGGAGAUGGCGGUGAGUAUAGAGAAUUUCUGCUAGGUCUCCUGUGUUUCAGCCAUCCCAGCCCAGGCACCACGACACAUUAUCAAAGGACUAUCUUGGACCUUCUCAUCCCAGCAAACAUCCAAUGGAGAAGAAUGAAGACUCCAGGCAUAUGAUCCCACUCUAGCCAUCCCAGGAGCCCCCAGCUAUCCAAACAACUACAGCUGUGGCCAAAAACAUCGUGUAUCAGGGACAAACUCUCUGCUUAUGGCUGCUCUAAUCCUUGACCUACAGAAUCAUGAAAUUUGUGGAUACGGUCAUGAUCUUGAUUUUGGCGAUGGUUUCACAGGUCAGAUGUACGUGAUGGUUACCAUUAUAACUACAUACUAUGAAAGAUUAAUCAGUGGAAAAAAACAAGUUAAAGACACACAAAAAACUUCAGAGAAUCAACUUCUGGUCAAAAAAGCCCUCCUUUAGCCAACUCUAAACCUCAUUCAACCAAUAUUCUCUAUAGUCUUAGAAAGCAUUCAGAAGACAUAAUAUUUUUUAAGGACUUCAAGCAGCAAAUGGCAGAAGUGACAAGAAUUGAAAAUAGAGGAAAAUUUUGUUUUGUUUAAAGAAUUCUAAUUUUAAUAAUGGGAAGUAUGCAUCCAUAUUUAUGCCAGAUUCAUAUAUAUGAAAUAUAUAUAUAUAUAUAUAUAUAUAUAUUUCAUGUAAAUGUACUUUUGCUAAUGAAAUAGGAAUUCAGGACAAUAAGAAGGUCUAGAGGAAGCACCCUUUAUGAGUAAUUGGUUUCAAUGUUCGUAUUCUUGAUCUAAACAAUAAAAAAUCAAAACUGCAUUUUCUCAAUGAAUAUGUUUUUCUCUGUUUUAAGUCUCAAGAAGUUAUGGUAGAAAUGCUUUACAGAAAAUAUUUUUCAAGCCCGGCAUGGUGGCUCAUGCCUGUAAUCCCAGCACUUUGGGAGACUGAGGCAGGCAGAUCACUUGAGGUCAGGAGUUCAAGACCAGCCUUUCCAACAUGGUGAGAACUUGUCUCUACUAAAAAUAAAAAAAAAAAUUAGCCUGGCAUGGUGAUGCACACCUGUAAUCCCAGCUACUUGGGAGGCCGAGGCACGAGAAUCACUUGAACCCAGGAGGUGGAGGUUGCAGUGGGCUGAGAUGGCACCACUGCACUACAGCCUGGGUGACAGAGCAAGUAAGACUCUGUCUCAAGGAAAAAAAAAUCUUUUUCAUAUGAUAAUACUACAGCUAGAAAGCUAGAAUUCUUUCUUACUGAUUGUUAUAUUAAGUCCUUCCUGUUCACUAAACAUUACUAAGCAUGAAAAAAAUCUUUGUGCUGUGGUAAGAAUGCUGAAAAAUGUAUAAUUCAAAUCCAGAUAUAUGAAUAACAACUUCUCACUAUAGUUUGGAAAAUAAACUAGUAUUGGUAUAUUUUUUGUUUGUUUUAAAUAAACUCAUCACUGGAGUUCUAGU
Molecule: long non-coding RNA, 1694 nt
Filed under: Homo sapiens (human)
Lineage: Eukaryota; Metazoa; Chordata; Mammalia; Primates; Hominidae
Description: non-protein coding LINC01268:1
Source: RNAcentral